This 507-nucleotide unclassified non-coding RNA is filed under the name uncultured Entrophospora. RNAcentral's name for it is "SSU rRNA". It matches the Rfam family "Eukaryotic small subunit ribosomal RNA", at positions 591 to 1092 of the family's 1831-position model. Lineage: Eukaryota; Fungi; Glomeromycota; Glomeromycetes; Entrophosporales; Entrophosporaceae. The record is from RNAcentral.
CCAAUAGCGUAUAUUAAAGUUGUUGCAGUUAAAAAGCUCGUAGUUGAAUUUCGGGAUUGGCGCAUCGGUCGUGCCUUACGGGGUAUGAACUGGUGCAGUCAAUUUCUCACCUUCUGGAGAACCGCGAUGUCCUUAAUUGGGUGCCACGGGGAACCAGGACCUUUACUUUGAAAAAAUUAGAGUGUUUAAAGCAGGCAUUUUUGCUUGAAUACAUUAGCAUGGAAUAAUAAAAUAGGACGGCAUGGUUCUAUUUUGUUGGUUUCUAGGACCACCGUAAUGAUUAAUAGGGCUAGUUGGGGGCAUUAGUAUUCAAUUGUCCGAGGUGAAAUUCUUGGAUUUAUUGAAGACUAACUACUGCGAAAGCAGUUGCCAAGGAUGUUUUCAUUAAUCAAGAACGAAAGUUAGGGGAUCGAAGACGAUCAGAUACCGUCGUAGUCUUAACCAUAAACUAUGCCGACUAGGAAUCAGACGAUGUUAAUUUUUUAAUGACUCGUUUGGCACCUUACG